GCCCCCCGCCCGCCCGAGCCUCGGCCGCGGGCCUCCCUCCUCCGUUAUCCCGCCUGCCCGCGCAAAACUCACACAACCCUCUUCAUUCGACCUACCUCCCUUGGGCACGUCUCGCAGUCAGGCUUGCGUUGGGGCCGUUUACUUCCCUUCGAUUAGACAACCAGGCCCCCGGGGCUGGGGCUGCGGCCUCCCCUCCCCGCCCGGCACACGCGGGCACAGCGUGGUUACCCUGGUUACUCAAAAGGAAGAGGCCGCUUGAACUGAGAAAAGCACAACGUGUGAAUACGGUGGCUUCUUGUGAGAAGGGGCCAUUCUAUUGUAACUGUGAAUCUGCAGCAGUAAUCUUUUUGGCUUUGUCCUAGCCUUUGACUACGUGGGUGCUUAAUACAUGCAUGUUGAAUGAACAAAUAAAAAGAAUUCUAAACA
This 426-nucleotide long non-coding RNA is filed under the name Homo sapiens (human). RNAcentral describes it as "novel transcript". The record is from RNAcentral. Lineage: Eukaryota; Metazoa; Chordata; Mammalia; Primates; Hominidae.